GGCCGACGGAAGAAGCAUUGUUAAGGAACUCGGCAAAAUGACCCCGUAACUUCGGGAGAAGGGGUGCCACAGAAAUGUGGCCGCAGAGAAUAGGCUCAAGCAACUGUUUAGCAAAAACACAGGUCUAUGCAAAACCGAAAGGUGAGGUAUAUGGGCUGACGCCUGCCCGGUGCUGGAAGGUUAAGAGGAGAGGUUAGCGCAAGCGAAGCUUUGAAUUGAAGCCCCAGUAAACGGCGGCCGUAACGAUAACGGUCCUAAGGUAGCGAAAUUCCUUGUCGGGUAAGUUCCGACCCGCACGAAAGGCGUAAUGAUUUGAGCGCUGUCUCGACAAUGCAUCCGGUGAAAUUGAAGUACCAGUGAAGAUGCUGGUUACCUGCGCCAGGACGGAAAGACCCCAUGGAGCUUUACUCCAGCUUGAUACUGGGAUUCGGUAUUGCAUGUACAGGAUAGGUGGGAGGCUGAGAAUCGGUAACGCCAGUUGCCGAGGAGCCAUUGUUGGGAUACCACCCUUGCAGUACUGGGCUUCUAACCAGCAGCCGUGACCCGGCUGGGGGACAAUGUCAGGUGGGGAGUUUGACUGGGGCGGUCGCCUCCGAAAGGGUAUCGGAGGCGCUCAAAGGUUCCCUCAGAAUGGUUGGAAACCAUUCGAAGAGUGCAAAGGCAGAAGGGAGCUUGACUGCGACACCGACGGGUGGAGCAGGUACGAAAGUAGGACUUAGUGAUCCGGUGGUAUUAAGUGGGAAUGCCAUCGCUCAACGGAUAAAAGCUACCCUGGGAUAACAGGCUUAUCACUCCCAAGAGUUCACAUCGACGGAGUGGUUUGGCACCUCGAUGUCGGCUCAUCGCAUCCUGGGGCUGUAGUAGGACCCAAGGGUUGGGCUGUUCGCCCAUUAAAGCGGUACGCGAGCUGGGUUCAGAACGUCGUGAGACAGUUCGGUCCCUAUCCGGCGUGGGCGUAGGAUAUCUGAGAGGAGCUGUCCUUAGUACGAGAGGACCGGGAUGGACGGACCGCUGGUGUACCUGUUGCAGUGCCAGCUGCAUGGCAGGGUAGCCAAGUCCGGAAGGGAUAAACGCUGAAGGCAUCUAAGCGUGAAGCCCCCCUCAAGAUGAGAUAUCCCAUUCGGAAGAAGUAAGACCCCUUGAAGACGACGAGGUAGAUAGGGCAGAGGUGGAAGUGCAGUAAUGUAUGGAGCUGACUGUUACUAAUCGGUCGAGGGUUUGACCAA
RNAcentral lists this ribosomal RNA (1226 nucleotides) under metagenome. Its description in RNAcentral is "bacterial LSU rRNA". It matches the Rfam family "Bacterial large subunit ribosomal RNA", at positions 1685 to 2925 of the family's 2925-position model. The record is from RNAcentral.